AAAAGACUUAGUCCUAACCUUUCUAUUGGUUUUUGCUAGACAUAUACAUGCAAGUAUCCGCAUCCCAGUGAAAAUGCCCCCAAACCUUUCUUCCCAAGCAAAAGGAGCAGGUAUCAGGCACACUCAGCAGUAGCCCAAGACGCCUUGCUUAAGCCACACCCCCACGGGUACUCAGCAGUAAUUAACCUUAAGCAAUAAGUGUAAACUUGACUUAGCCAUAGCAACCCAGGGUUGGUAAAUCUUGUGCCAGCCACCGCGGUCAUACAAGAAACCCAAAUCAAUAGCUACCCGGCGUAAAGAGUGGCCACAUGUUAUCUGCACCAGCUAAGAUUAAAAUGCAACCAAGCUGUCAUAAGCCUAAGAUCCACCUAAACCCAACCCAAAUCCAUCUUAGCCUCAACGAUUAAUUUUAACCCACGAAAGCUAGGACCCAAACUGGGAUUAGAUACCCCACUAUGCCUAGCCCUAAAUCUAGAUACCUCCCAUCACACAUGUAUCCGCCUGAGAACUACGAGCACAAACGCUUAAAACUCUAAGGACUUGGCGGUGCCCCAAACCCACCUAGAGGAGCCUGUUCUAUAAUCGAUAAUCCACGAUUCACCCAACCACCCCUUGCCAGCACAGCCUACAUACCGCCGUCGCCAGCCCACCUCUAAUGAAAGAACAACAGUGAGCUCAAUAGCCCCUCGCUAAUAAGACAGGUCAAGGUAUAGCCUAUGGGGUGGGAGAAAUGGGCUACAUUUUCUAACAUAGAACAAACGAAAAAGGAUGUGAAACCCGCCCUUAGAAGGAGGAUUUAGCAGUAAAGUGAGAUCAUACCCCCUAAGCUCACUUUAAGACGGCUCUGAGGCACGUACAUACCGCCCGUCACCCUCUUCACAAGCCAUCAACAUCAAUAAAUAUAUACUUCCCCUCCCGGCUAAAGACGAGGCAAGUCGUAACAAGGUAAGUGUACCGGAAGGUGCACUUAGACUACCAAGGCG
Gallus gallus (chicken) is the source of this 983-nucleotide non-coding RNA. The record is from Rfam. Lineage: Eukaryota; Metazoa; Chordata; Aves; Galliformes; Phasianidae.